CCUACGGGAGGCAGCAGUGAGGAAUAUUGGUCAAUGGGCGGAAGCCUGAACCAGCCAAGUAGCGUGCAGGAUGACGGCCCGACGGGUUGUAAACUGCUAUUAUACGGGAAUAACGCGCCUUACGUGGAGGGCUUUGCAUGUACCGUAUGAAUAAGGACCGGUUAAUUCCGUGCCAGCAGCCGCGGUAAUACGGAAGGUCCGGGCGUUAUCCGGAUUUAUUGGGUUUAAAGGGAGCGUAGGCCGCAUGUAAAGCGUGCUGUGAAAUGUCCGUGCUCAACCCGGGCCUUGCCGCGCGAACUGGCGUGCUUGCGUCCGCGUCACGCAGGCGGCAUUCGUCGUGUAGCGGU
RNAcentral lists this ribosomal RNA (347 nucleotides) under uncultured bacterium. RNAcentral's name for it is "partial 16S ribosomal RNA". It matches the Rfam family "Bacterial small subunit ribosomal RNA", at positions 338 to 682 of the family's 1533-position model. The record is from RNAcentral.